RNAcentral lists this ribosomal RNA (255 nucleotides) under uncultured bacterium. RNAcentral's name for it is "partial 16S ribosomal RNA". It matches the Rfam family "Bacterial small subunit ribosomal RNA", at positions 524 to 776 of the family's 1533-position model. The record is from RNAcentral.
UACAGAGGGUGCAAACGUUGCUCGGAAUUAUUGGGCGUAAAGCGCGUGUAGGCGGCUUGUUAAGUCGGUUGUGAAAACCCAUGGCUCAACCAUGGAAGGGCGUCCGAAACUGGCAAGCUAGAGUCCCGACGAGGAUGGCGGAAUUCCGAGUGUGAGAGGUGAAAUUCGUAGAUAUUCGCAAGAACACCAGUGGCGAAGGCGGCUUACUGGUCCGGUUCGUGACGCUGAGGCGCGAAAGCGUGGGGAGCAAACAGG